Oxyura jamaicensis (ruddy duck) is the source of this 1603-nucleotide long non-coding RNA. RefSeq lists it as uncharacterized. Lineage: Eukaryota; Metazoa; Chordata; Aves; Anseriformes; Anatidae. The transcript is spliced from 2 exons. The record is from RefSeq and is a predicted model, not a curated record.
UCUUAUAAUCUCUGUUAACGUUUUCUGACACGGAGAAGGAAGGCGAAGGAGAAGAGGGGAGUGCCAGCUCACUUAUAGGGCAGUAAUGUGGGCCUAGAUCUCUAAGAAGCAGAGGUUACACAUUCCAACAUGUUAUUACCUUUCUGCAUGUCUCUUGCCGUGUUGAGCAGAGAUGCAAUAUGUGGCUGAGGGUCUUUACCUCCAGCUCCUUUACGUAAUGGUGAAGUUUGGAUCUUGUCCUGCAAUACUAGUGGACUACUCCACAGCUGAGUGUGGAUCUAAGAGUUUCAGAUCUGCUUAUGGCCUGUCCAGAAACAGUCAUCAAACCAAGUGGGAGAAUUUCUGAUUUUUUUUGGUUUUCUUUAGAAGAAGAAAAAAUAAAUACGAAAACUACAAAAGUAAGGAAACUACAUACGUUAUUACUAUAUGUACACUACCACUUACAUUACUAUCCAAGUAAAUGCAUUUAAAGAUUAAGCUAACAAAGGCCUGCAUGCAAAUUAGGAUGUCAGCAGUUAUACUGCUUAUACAUCAUUCAGUUGUCUCAUACAUUCUCUUAACUACAUGAUCACGCAAACCCUUUUCAAAUUCAUUGCCUGGGAUAAGUGAACUCCGAAAAAGAAUGAAGGCAAUAUUUCUCAGUCCUGCCAGGAGCUGAAAGGCAUGUGUGGAAAGAGACAGAGGGCAGGCAGGGAGAGCUUGGUGGCAUGAAUGAGGCAGGUGAACGUGCCUCUCAGAGAAGACUGGAGCCAGCAGAGAAAGCACAGGAGGUCCCAGAAGGGUGGAGGAAAGCAAAGUCCAUCCCUCUGGAAAGGGACAAGGGAAGUUCUGGGAAAUGUAAACCAGAUACUGGAGUGAAGCAUUAACCUGUUGCCUUCUAAGCAUCUAGAAGAUAGCACAAUGAUAAAAGCAAAAAAGGGUUUGUCAAGAUUAUUUUGAACUGGUGGCACCUGUAGUAGAGGAUGGAGGGGAGGCACGGGAUAGAAGUACAGUUAAUGUUUUAGCAGGAAGAGUGCAUAGGGAACUGAAAAUUACAUUCAAGGAAUAGGCCUCAUCAUAAUAUAGGAUUAUGCAGGCAUCUGUCCUGAGUCCGCUGCUCUUCAGCACUUUCACUACUGGUUUGGGCAAUGGCAUCAUGUAUGCACUUAACCCCAAGAUGACUGCAGUGGGAGGGAAUGCAGGCGACUUUAGACAGCAGGAGUAGAAUUCAAAAUGAAAUGCUGAAAUAAAAACUGAUGAAGAAAAGUAAGGUGCUAUACUGACAGAUGUCAAAAAAUCAAAUGCAGAGAUGGUGAGUACGGACCAGCCAGCUGGGCAGUGGCUCUGCAGAUAAGGGCCUAGUAAGUGGUAGGCUAGUGGCUCACAAGUGCAGCACAAGUCAGUGCUGUCAUGAUACUUUUGCUACUACCAACUUAAUUCCAGCUUCCACAGGAGUGUUGCCUGUAAGAUUUGGGGGAGGAUUGCUCUGCUCUGCUCAGUUCAGAUAAGGUCUCAGCUGGAGCAUUCAGGGAAGCACAGGGUGUGCACGUGAACUGUAAGAAAUGUGGAGAAAUAUCACAGCAGUAUUCAGAGCUUCAGAAAAUACAGCCAGUGAUGGUGUGUG